RNAcentral lists this long non-coding RNA (1033 nucleotides) under Gallus gallus (chicken). RNAcentral describes it as "lncRNA (ENSGALG00010028359.1)". Lineage: Eukaryota; Metazoa; Chordata; Aves; Galliformes; Phasianidae. The record is from RNAcentral.
AGAAAAGUCUCCCAUCUCUGGGGGGAGUCUCUGCGUUAAUUUUCUAUCAAAUUCGUCCUGGUAUUCUGUGUAAGCAUUACUCCAAAUUAAUAAUGCAAAAUAACUACAAAGUCGCAGAAACCCCAAGGAGAACGUUGCAUUUUUUUUUUUAGCUGGAAUGAGCUUAAUUGAUAUUGUUUGAUGCAUCCAUUUGUCCCUGAAUUCUGCUGAACUAUUUCUGGCACAGAUAUAAUCUUUGACCUGGAAGCCCUGUGCUCUGAGCACAGCCUGUGAAGCAACAGGGCCCUGGGGACAACCACACGUGUGUUCGAAGUCCAGCGCUGCAGGGAGUGAAAAGAGCAGCCAGUCACUGAAGAAAGAGUGAAUAACUCUCUCUGCCCGCCUGCUUUAGUGAGGACACGUUUACCAGGUGCCUCAUGAGGGACUCGAGGAAAAUACCAGAGACACCCAACUCAUUUCAUUUUGAAAACUGUGAAGGAAGAUGGUAGCUGUAGGUACCAGGAAUGUGCUGUCAUUGAAAUACAGUCCCAGUGUUUCUCAGCCUGCUCAUCCUGUGCAGUCUGUGAGAACCAGGGCACAGGGGCAAUGUAAAGUUGGAGCUGGAGAUGCCAGGGCCUGCAGCUGCCUUAGCUCAGGGUCAGCCCACAGCACACGGCUGCCUCAGGGCCCCUGGGGGCCCAGGAAGCCCCAGGUGCAAAUGUGUCUGCGUUGCACAGCUCGGACUCUGGACACACAGAGAAGCCUGUGGUCCCACAGCUUUGCAGGUGAACUAUUGGAAAUACUGAGUUUGGACUGCGGUUUAUCCAAGGUUCAUCAAGCCAGGUACGUUUUUACAAAGCAGAUUGAUUUUUACAGAUAAACCACUUCUGGACUAAAAAAGAAAAACAAGAUAAACUGUUGGAGAGCUCUCAGCUGGGUCCUUGCAUGUGGUCUUAUGUGCUGAAAAGAGAGGAUGCCAAAAGAGUUCAGAUCAACAACACAGGGAAUUUGUUUACUAUUCUGUGGACUAACAUCAAGAUGUUUCAAUCAAUCU